UUGCACUAGGAUGCAAAAGAAAGAAAUCCCUGCGCUUUCUGUCUGUCUUUGUGGCGGCCCAGAUUGAAUUGGGGAAUACAUCU
RNAcentral lists this small nucleolar RNA (83 nucleotides) under Aotus nancymaae (Ma's night monkey). RNAcentral's name for it is "Small nucleolar RNA SNORA31 (ENSANAG00000004813.1)". It matches the Rfam family "Small nucleolar RNA SNORA31", at positions 48 to 130 of the family's 130-position model. Rfam says of the family: ACA31 (SNORA31) belongs to the H/ACA class of snoRNAs which are thought to guide the sites of modification of uridines to pseudouridines. ACA31 is predicted to guide the pseudouridylation of U3713 in 28S rRNA and U218 in 18S rRNA. The record is from RNAcentral. Lineage: Eukaryota; Metazoa; Chordata; Mammalia; Primates; Aotidae.